Molecule: ribosomal RNA, 253 nt
Filed under: uncultured bacterium
Lineage: Bacteria
Description: partial 16S ribosomal RNA
Rfam family: Bacterial small subunit ribosomal RNA
Source: RNAcentral
UACGGAGGGUGCGAGCGUUGUCCGGAAUCACUGGACGUAAAGGGCGCGUAGGCGGCCUGAUAAGUAGGGGGUGAAAUCUUGCGGCUUAACCGCAAGGCUGCCUUCUAAACUGUCAGGCUAGAGCACAGUAGAGGCAGGUGGAAUUCCCGGUGUAGCGGUGGAAUGCGUAGAGAUCGGGAAGAACAUCAGUGGCGAAGGCGGCCUGCUGGGCUGUUGCUGACGCUGAGACGCGACAGCGUGGGGAGCAAACAGG